UGAACCAUAAUAAUUUGGCCAGACGUUACAACCUUUAGCCUCUAGGUUACACUUUCUUCCCAACAGCCAUCCAAGUCCAAAACAUUGAAAUUUAGAUCCACUAUAGUCUAUAGCAUAGGAUUGACUGGUUCAAUGGCCAUGGCUAAUACCAUUAAAAAUACUUUUUUUUCUUUUCUUUUAAUGACCUAGGAACAGGCUAACAACGACGUUACUCCCACUCAAGUACAAUGCUUAUCUAUAUCUCUGUACAUGAGAUCCAACAGCUCCCAGCAGUA
RNAcentral lists this long non-coding RNA (275 nucleotides) under Elaeis guineensis (African oil palm). RNAcentral's name for it is "long non-coding RNA (EGUI_LNC002481)". The record is from RNAcentral. Lineage: Eukaryota; Viridiplantae; Streptophyta; Magnoliopsida; Arecales; Arecaceae.